This 253-nucleotide ribosomal RNA is filed under the name uncultured bacterium. RNAcentral describes it as "partial 16S ribosomal RNA". It matches the Rfam family "Bacterial small subunit ribosomal RNA", at positions 524 to 776 of the family's 1533-position model. The record is from RNAcentral.
UACGAAGGGGGCUAGCGUUGUUCGGAAUUACUGGGCGUAAAGCGCACGUAGGCGGGUCGUUAAGUCAGGGGUGAAAUCCCGGAGCUCAACUCCGGAACUGCCUUUGAUACUGGCGAUCUAGAGGUCGAGAGAGGUGAGUGGAAUUCCGAGUGUAGAGGUGAAAUUCGUAGAUAUUAGGAAGAACACCAGUGGCGAAGGCGGCUCACUGGUCCGGUACUGACGCUGAGGUGCGAAAGCGUGGGGAGCAAACAGG